GAUCCUGGCUCAGGAUGAACGCUGGCGGCGUGCCUAAUACAUGCAAGUCGAACGAAUCUCUUUUAGAGAUGAGUGGCGAACGGGUGAGUAAUACAUAGGUAACCUGCCCCUGUGCGGGGGAUAACAGGAGGAAACUCCUGCUAAUACCGCAUAGCCAUGAGCACCGCAUGGAGCUCAUGCCAAAUAUCCUUUCGGGGAUAGCGCAGGGAUGGACCUAUGGCGCAUUAG
RNAcentral lists this ribosomal RNA (228 nucleotides) under uncultured bacterium. RNAcentral's name for it is "partial 16S ribosomal RNA". It matches the Rfam family "Bacterial small subunit ribosomal RNA", at positions 15 to 244 of the family's 1533-position model. The record is from RNAcentral.